RNAcentral lists this ribosomal RNA (103 nucleotides) under uncultured bacterium. Its description in RNAcentral is "partial 16S ribosomal RNA". The record is from RNAcentral.
AAGACGGCCCUAUGGGUUGUAAACUGCUUUUAUACCGGAAUAAACCCCUUUACGUGUAGAGGGCUGAAUGUACGGUAGGAAUAAGGAUCGGCUAACUCCGUGC